UGGUUCCUAGCACCCACAUGACAGCU
Molecule: unclassified non-coding RNA, 26 nt
Filed under: Mus musculus (house mouse)
Lineage: Eukaryota; Metazoa; Chordata; Mammalia; Rodentia; Muridae
Description: oocyte_clustered_small_RNA354
Source: RNAcentral